Molecule: ribosomal RNA, 1661 nt
Filed under: human gut metagenome
Description: bacterial LSU rRNA
Rfam family: Bacterial large subunit ribosomal RNA
Source: RNAcentral
UCCAAUCGAACUCGGAGAUAGCUGGUUCUCCCCGAAAUAGCUUUAGGGCUAGCGUCGGAUAUGUGUAGUGGAGGUAGAGCACUGAAUGGGCUAGGGGGCAUAUCGCUUACCGAACCUUAUCAAACUCCGAAUGCCAUAUACAUUUAGUCCGGCAGUCAGACUACGAAUGAUAAGAUCCGUGGUCAAAAGGGAAACAGCCCAGAUCGUCAGCUAAGGUCCCAAAGUGUAAGUUAAGUGGAAAAGGAUGUGGGAUUUCUAAGACAACUAGGAUGUUGGCUUAGAAGCAGCCACUCAUUUAAAGAGUGCGUAAUAGCUCACUAGUCGAGAGAUCCUGCGCCGAAAAUGUCCGGGGCUCAAACUUACCACCGAAGCUACGGGCUUGCGUAAGCAAGCGGUAGGGGAGCGUCGUAAUCGGGCUGAAGUCGUACCGUAAGGAGCGGUGGACUGAUUACGAGUGAGAAUGUUGGCAUUAGUAGCGAGAUGUAGGUGAGAAUCCUACAGGCCGAAUAUCUAAGGUUUCCUCAGGAAGGCUCGUCCGCUGAGGGUUAGUCGGGACCUAAGCCGAGGCCGAAAGGCGUAGGCGAUGGACAACAGGUUGAUAUUCCUGUACCACUACCAUCGUUAUUAUCGAGGGUGUGACGGAGAAGGAUAGUGUGUGCUAGCGAUUGGAAAUGCUAGUCUAAGCGUUUAGGGAGUUACGGUAGGCAAAUCCGCUGUAACAAUUCUGAGGCGUGAUGGGGAAGGCCCUUGAGGCUGAAGUACAUGAUUCCAUGCUUCCAAGAAAAGCAUCUAGAGAGAGAAGUAGUGCCCGUACCGCAAACCGACACAGGUAGAUGAGGAGAGAAUCCUAAGGCCGGCGGAAGAAUUGCAGUUAAGGAACUAGGCAAAUUGACCCCGUAAGUUCGCGAGAAGGGGUGCCUGCGAGAGCAGGCCGCAGAGAAUAGGCCCAAGCAACUGUUUAGCAAAAACACAGGUCUCUGCUAAAGCGCAAGCUGAUGUAUAGGGGCUGACGCCUGCCCGGUGCUGGAAGGUUAAGGGGAACACUUAGCGCAAGCGAAGGUGUGAACUUAAGCCCCAGUAAACGGCGGCCGUAACUAUAACGGUCCUAAGGUAGCGAAAUUCCUUGUCAGGUAAGUUCUGACCCGCACGAAUGGCGUAAUGACUUGGGCACUGUCUCAACUGCAAAUCCGGCGAAGUUGUAGUGCGAGUGAAGAUGCUCGCUACCCGCGAUUGGACGGAAAGACCCCGUAGAGCUUUACUGUAGCUUAGCAUUGAAUUCCGGUAUUGUCUGUACAGGAUAGGUGGGAGACUGGGAAACUAGGGCGUCAGCCUUAGUGGAGUCAACCUUGGGAUACCACCCUGACAGUACUGGGGUUCUAACAGGACGCCAUGAAUCUGGUGACUGGACAUUGUUAGGUGGGCAGUUUGACUGGGGCGGUCGCCUCCUAAAAAGUAACGGAGGCGCCCAAAGGUUCCCUCAGAACGGUCGGAAAUCGUUCGUAGAGUGCAAAGGCAGAAGGGAGCCUGACUGCGAGACCUACAAGUCGAGCAGGGACGAAAGUCGGGCUUAGUGAUCCGGUGGUACCUCGUGGGAGGGCCAUCGCUCAACGGAUAAAAGCUACCUCGGGGAUAACAGGCUGAUCUCCCCCAAGAGUCCACAU